UUGCACCACGACAACCAUGGACAGCAAUCUGCCUGCCAUGGCGCCAAAACUCAACAUUCAGCAGGCCAUGGAUCCACUGCUAUCCACGGAAAUCAUGGUAGCCACGGCCAGCAGACUGCAUGCCAUGGCGCAAAAACUCAACAUUCAGCAGGCCAUGGCUCCACUGCUAUGCAUGGAAAUCAUGCUAAGGGACAGAACACUGCAUGCCAUGAUGCUAAAACUCAACAUUCAGCAGGCCAUGGCUCCACUGUUGGGCAUGGAAAUCAUGCUAAGGGCCAGAACACUGCAUGCCAUGGCACCAAAACUCAACAUUCAGCAAGCCAUGGAUCCACUGCUACUAAUGGAAAUCAUGCUAAGGGCCAGAUCACUGCAUGCCAUGGCGCCAAAACUCAACAUUCAACAGGCCAUGGCUCCACUGCUAUGCACGGAAGUCAUGGUAGCCACAACCAGCAGACUGUGUGCCAUGGCUCGAAGAAGGAAGGGGGCAUCAUGCAUAAGAUAGGUAGUCAGCUGAAGACC
RNAcentral lists this long non-coding RNA (519 nucleotides) under Solanum tuberosum (potato). Its description in RNAcentral is "long non-coding RNA (STUB_LNC008617)". The record is from RNAcentral. Lineage: Eukaryota; Viridiplantae; Streptophyta; Magnoliopsida; Solanales; Solanaceae.